RNA transcript from Pogoniulus pusillus (Red-fronted tinkerbird), 6069 nucleotides. It is a transcript of the gene named protein disulfide-isomerase TMX3-like, with no coding region annotated. The transcript is spliced from 16 exons. NCBI's taxonomy places the organism in Eukaryota, Metazoa, Chordata, Aves, Piciformes, Lybiidae. The record is from RefSeq and is a predicted model, not a curated record.
AGCCCCUUCCCCCGCUCCCCCCGAGCCCUCUCGGACCCCUCCCGGGACCCCCCAACUCCGCCUAAGACCCCCCCGGGGCUGGGUACAGCCGCAGCAGCUCGCUCCGCGCCGCCAUCUUGCCUCCGUGCCGUCACUUCCGGCUGGCAGGCGACGCUCUGGGCUCUCCUCUCGCUGGUCAAAGCCGCUCUAGGCCUCCGAGGUCCUCCAGGCGCCACUGCGAGCGGCUCCGGGCCAAAGCAAUGACUGUGCUCAGCUGCAGGGAUGGAUUUGCCUGCACUCAAGCUGCUGCUGCCAGAGCCCCUCCGUGUCAAUCUGUGCUGCCGUUGGGUUCUGCAGCUCUCUCCAGCAAGCAUGGCAUGAGCUGAAGGAGCAGCAGGAGCAGCAUGGCCGUUCCCCAGGCAGCAGGAGGGUUCAGCCCAGCACCAGCUCAUGCGGGAGGAGCAGAUGCUGAGGAACAUCCCCCACGAGACGCAGGUGGCCAAAGAGGCUGGGUCAGGAUGUUCAAGAUCCAUCAGUGACAGUGAGCUUUCCACUGGAUGAAGAGAGAGUGCCACAGGACAGAUUUCCAUUUGGAUGGAAUCCAGGCUGGUAGCACUGCACAAACCUGAAAGUGAAUAGGAAAUACUUGACAGGAUGAUGACAGAGUCUGCAUGGACUUGAAUAGAAUUCAGAAGGGUGCUGUGGCUGUUUGUGCCGUCGAUGCAUCUGGCUGCUUCACAGCAGAGGUGGCUGACUUGGCUGGACAGUAUGUGAAGAUGUGGUCAUCAAGCUUGUGCCAGCCAGGUAGUGUAACACGACUUGUCAGAGGAGAGAAGUCCACUCAUUUUCCCUACUUGUGGGAUGUGUUGCAAUGAUGCAGAUAAGAACAUCACUAAAGUACUGAAAGAGAAAGGCAGCCUGGUUCACAGCAGUAGUUUUAAGCACAGCUCUCCUUUCUGCUGGAGGUCUGAUACUCUGCUGAUAGACAAAGCUGUGCCAAGCUGGUUUGUAAGAGUGGAACACAUGGUGGAGAAACUGCUGGAAUGUAAUGCCCAAUGCUACUGAGUCUUUUCAUCUUCCCUGGACUAACUGAAAACCCCUCUUUCAGUAUGUGACCUUGCCUGAGUUGCCUGCUGUUGUGGUCUUCAAAGAUGGAGCUUCCUUUGUUUCUGAUGGUAAGUAAAAGUGGAUAUUGGCCAUAUCAUGGAAUCAGCCAGGCUGGAAGAGACCUCCAAGAUCACCCAGUCCAACCUAGCACCCAGCCCUAACCAAUCAACUGGACCCUGGCACUAAGUGCCUAACAACCAGCCUGUACCUCUCUUGGCACAACUUGAGACUGUGUCCCCUUGUUCUGUUGCUGGUUGCCUGGCAGCAGAGCCCAACCCUAGCUGGCUACUGCACUGCUCCUGUGCACUGCGGCCCUCCUCUGGACCUGCUCCAGCAGGUCCUUGUCUCUUCUGUUGGAGGUUCUGUAGCUGUGUGCAGUACUCCAGGUAGGUCUCACCAGAGCAGGGCAGACUCAUAGACUCAGAGUCAAGCAGGUUGGAAGAGAGCUCCAAGCUCAUCCAGUCCAAUCUAGCCCCCAGCCCUGUCCACUCAACUAGACCAUGGCACUAAGUGCCUCACCCAGGCUGUUCCUGAGCGCUUCCAGACACGGUGACUCUGUGGUGCCACAGCAAAAUACUCCAGGUGGGCCCUCAAGGGUAUUCUUUGAGCUGUCAUGGAAGGGCUGUGCUUGCCUUCCUCUUCGCUCUAUUGCCUUGCAACCAGUCACCCACCAAAGAAAAGUUCACUCAGUGACCUCCUUGAUCUGCAUUUGAUUUAGUUUUACUUUUGAAGUGGCCUGGAGAAGGAAAUUUUGUCAAAGAGAAACAAUUUUAAACUGCUUUUUUGUGGUGUGACCUGUCUGCUUUUGCCACCCCUGUCAAAACACACAAGCCUUGUUUCAAUCCAGGCUCCUAAUUCACUUUGCACAAAUCUUACUCUCUUAAAAUGUAUUAGAAGGGUUUUUGUAAACCAGUCAGUGCAGAGGCCCUGCAAGAGACUGGAUAUUGUUUUAUGUGCAGCUUACCAUUGGGCAGGAAAGUGCUGUCAGUCACAGCUCCCUUCCCAUGUCACAUUCCCUGCUGGGAGAGGAUUGUUUGUCCUUGGUUUGGGUGAAACUAAUCAGCCAAUCAGCACUGCAUGCUGUGCUCUAAUACACUUUUUGUUCAACAGCUGCAAAUUGCUUUAGCAGCUUAGGAGUGACAUUUCUGGAAAGGUGAGAGACCUUGUCUGGAAACAGUAGAGGGUUAAAAAUAGGCUUCUCUAGGCUGAAAUAAAUGUUAUUGCCCACCUCACAGCAGCAACAGAAGAACACAUUCUGCUUGCUUGCUUGCUUUCUCUUUUGUUGUCAGAGUGUGAAGAUGGUGAUUUGUCAUCCUGGAUAAACAGAGCAAGAUUUCAAGGGUAUCUUCAUGUGGAUGGCUUUACACUUCAUGAACUUGGAGACAGAGGAAAACUUGUGGCUAUUGCAGUCAUUGAUGAUAAAAACUCUUCAGUGGAACAUACCAGGAACAGAACUGAGUGUUGGUGACAGUGUGGGAGAAGUUUGCUGAUAUGAUGUAGAGAACUUGGGGAAGUUUGUUAGAUCUGAAGAGAUGCCAGGGUGAAAACAAGAGAGCAGCAAGGCAGGAAGCACAAAAGCAAACCUCUCUCAUGAAGGAAACAGCACAACUGCAAGCACAGCUUUAAGCACAGCAUACCAAGGAGGAACAGAAAUCCCAAGCAGAGCAAAGGGGAGGAGUGGCUUAGAGAAAAGCAAAAGCACCCCACAAAGGACACAGCCAAAACACCACCCCACAAAGGACACAGCCAACCUACCCCCGCAAAGGGGAUCAGCCAAAGGCUUCUGCCUCUCCUGGGGCAGCUUAAAAAGGGGAGGUCAAUUGAAGUCUCCUCCCACCCCAGCUGUGGCCACUUUGCCCUCCCUGCUCAGUGCCCUUUAGAAGCAGAGCAGGAGGAGCCCAGCCCCAAGCUGGGCCCAUUGUGGGCCAAGGGAUCCUCCGCCUGGCAUCCCAGGGAGCUGAACUGCUUUGCCCCAGCCCAGCUGCAGAUCUGCACUCAGCCUCAGCCCCAAGCCCUGGCAGGGUGGGAUGCUUUGGUACCAGGCCGUGGAGCUGUUUGAAAUGCAAUUGCUGCUUGCAGCUGGUUCAGAAAUGGAUUUCCUGUGGCUGUGGGGGCAGAAAUGUCUCUGUGCACACGCUCAGAGGACAGGUCCCUGGAUUGCAGUGCUGCUCCAAUGGCCUGUGGUGGCUGCAGGCAGCCGCGGCCCGGGGAGCCCAAGACUCAGCGUGUGGAAGGGUUGGGAGCAGCCCUGGGUGCCUGCAAGGAUUCGGGAGGUGAGCUGAGCAGGCCCGAGCAGGUCUGAAACCCUGCCACGGAGAGGCACAGGCCCCGCAGCAGUGCCUGCAUUUCAGCAGCUGCCCAUCGGAGCUAAGCACAGCCUCGGCUCAGAGGUUUGCACUUUGCUUUCCACUCCACUGGCCAAGCCAGCCAGAUGUGCAGCAGCAGCAGGAUGGGCACGAGGGCCCCAGCUGCUGCGGUGAAUCCGUCAGCACGGACGCUGGUGCCGCUGCAGCCUGGCCCUGCAGCCUGGCAGGGUGAUCUCCUUUGGCUCGGCUCCUGUGGGCUCCAGAUGCUAACAGAGCAGCUGGAUGAGCAGAAAGCCUCUCGUGCAAACGGCUGUGGAGUGCUUCUCUCUGUUCCCUGCUGCUGGGAGGUGCUGACAGGUUAGAGUUAGUGGAGGGGUGUGAAGAAUUUGCAGGGAUCUCUAAGGGUCUGCAGACCCCUUUGAAAGGUCUGAAGUUGUCUGUAGAUGUCUCUAGGGUGCUGCAGGGGUCUGCAGGCACCUCUCAAAUGUCUGGAGGGGUCUGUAGCUGUCUGUAGAGGUCUCUAGAGCUUUGUAGAGGAAUGUGGGUGCCUGCAGCUGUCUCUAGGGGGGUGUGGAGGUCUGCAGGCACCUUUCAAAUGUCUGGAGGGGUCUGUAGAGCUCUGGCAGGGUCUGUAGAUUUUGGCAGGGUUCUGUAGGAGUCUCUGGGCAGCUUUUAAAGGUGUGAAGGGGUCUGUAGCUAUUUGUCAGGGUCUGAGAGAGUCUGCAGAGGUCUGUAGAGUUGAGUAGGUGUUUGGAGAUUUCUGUGUGGGUCUGUAGGUGCCUGCAGGCAUCAUUGAAGGCUCUGGAGGGGUCUGUAGAUGUGUGCAGGGGUCUGUUAAAUAUCUGGAGAGGUCUGGAUGGGUGUGGGGAGCUCUGUAGGGGUCUGUAUGUGUUUGCAGGCAGCUGCAGGGGUCCGUAGAUGCCUGUAGGGAUUUGCAGGGCUCUGUUAGUUCUCUGUAGAGGUCUGCCUGGGUCUGGAGGUGCCUUUUAAUGGGUCUGUGGAGGUCUGGAGGGCUCUACAGAGUUCUGCAGUGGGCUGCAGUGGUCUGUUAAAGGUGUGGAGGGGUCUGUAGGUGUCUGCAUUCAGUGAAGGAGUUCUUUGGCUCCAGGACACUUUUGUCCAGUGUCUCUAGAGUGUGACUGUCCCAAAUGAGAUAGAGGUGCACUGGCAGCGUGUUUGCAGGUGGCCCCAAGCUGAGUGGUGCUGGAGAGCAAGCCGAGGGGCAGGAUGGCAUCCAGGAAACACCUGGGCAGGCAGGGGAGCUGGGCCCGGGCGAAGCUUGUGAGGUUCCAGGAGAGCAAGGGCAGGGUGCUGCGUGUGGGCGGGAGGAAGCCUGCCUGUGCCUGCGGGCUGGGGGCGGAGGCGAUAAAGAGCAGCCCUGGGGGUGCUGGGGAGAAGCUGAGUGCGAGCACAUGGUGUGAGCUUGCAGGCCAGGAGGAGCCUGUCGGUGUCUGCAGGGCUGUGCAAGCAGCUGUAGGAGUCUGCCCAGGUCUGUAGGUGUCUGCAGGGGUCUUCUAAAAGGCCUGGAGGCUUUUCUGAGUGUGCAGAGGUGUGCGGGGGUCUGGAGGCAUCUGUAGGUACCCUUAGGGGCCUGGAGGGCUCUCUGGGUGUCUGUGGAGGUGGUUAGGGGUCGGUAGAGGUGUGUGUGGUGCUGUAGGUGUCUCAAAAGGCUGUGAAGGUCUUGAGGUGCCUUGCAAAGGUCUCGAGGUGUCUGUAGGGGUCUGCAGGGUUCUCUGGCAGUCUGUAGAGGUCUGUGGGGGUCUCUAGGGGCCUCUUAAAGACAUGCAGGGGUCUGCAGGGCUCUAUGGAAAGGUCGGGAGGGGUCCCUAGAGGUCUCUAGGAGGCUGGAGGGGUGUGCAAGUGUCUGUAGCAUUCAGCAGGUGUGUGGAGGUUUCUGUUCUGGGCCCGCAGGUGUCUGCAGGCAUCUUGUAAAGGUCUGCAGGGGUCUGUGGAGCUCUGUCAGGCAUCUGUUAAGUGUCUGCAGGAAUCCAUUGAAGGUGUGGAGGGGGCUGCAGGGCUCUGCAGAGGAGGCUGUGGCUGUGUGUAGAGGUCUUAGGGGUGUGAAGAGUUUGCAGGGGUCUGUAAGGGUCUGCAGAGCCCUUGGAAAGGUCUGAAGUUGUCUGUAGGAGUCUGGAGAUGUCUCUAGGGCACUGCAGGGCUCUGCAGGGGUCUGCUGCUGCGGGAGGAGUGGGCUGGCGGAGCCACGCCCCCCGGGCUGCGGAGCCACGCCCCCUCCCUGGCCUUUCUUGCCUGGCUCUGGUUGCUGCCUGUUUAUUUGCAUAGCCACACCCCCUGUCCCCUUGCUGUCUAGUCCCCGCCCCUUUCUUUCUGAGCCACGCCCCCUUCCCUGUUCUGUGUCUGGUCCCCGCCCCUUCUCCUUGGCCACGCCCUCUCCCCAUGCUGUGUCUAGUCCCCGCCCCCUCCAUGGGCACACCCUCUCCCCAUGCUGUGUCUAGUCCCCGCCCCCUCCAUGGCCACGCCCUCUCCCCAUGCUGUGCCUGGCCCCGCCUCCUCGGCCCCGCCCCCGCCCCCCAGUAACUAAUAAUAUGGUGACAGAUUUGGAGCUUCCUUUGGAGGAGGAGUUCAGGAGGUGGCUGCUGAUUGGUGGAUUGUGGUGGGCGUGGUUUGCCGCUUGUUCUGCCUUCCUCAUUUGCAUAAAUUUCAAUAUCAGGCUCUG